RNAcentral lists this ribosomal RNA (496 nucleotides) under uncultured bacterium. RNAcentral describes it as "bacterial SSU rRNA". It matches the Rfam family "Bacterial small subunit ribosomal RNA", at positions 28 to 534 of the family's 1533-position model. The record is from RNAcentral.
GACGAACGCUGGCGGCGUGCCUGACACAUGCAAGUCGGACGGUUCUUGCACCUUCAAGCUUGCUUGCUGGUGCAGGGAUAGUGGCGGACGGGUGAGUAACGCGUGAACAUCUACCCAUUGGAGGGGGACAACCCGUCGAAAGGCGGGCUAAUACCGCGUAAGCCGUGAGGUGAGAGGCUGCCUAUUGGUGGCCGCCGAUGGAUGGGUUCGCGUCCUAUCAGCUGGUUGGUGGGGUAACGGCCUACCAAGGCGAAGACGGGUAGCCGGUCUGAGAGGAUGGCCGGCCACACUGGAACUGAGACACGGUCCAGACUCCUACGGGAGGCAGCAGUGGGGAAUAUUGGGCAAUGGGGGUAACCCUGACCCAGCGACGCCGCGUGAGGGACGAAGGUUUUCGGAUCGUAAACCUCUGUUGUACGGGAAGAAGGAAUUGACGGUACCGUACGAGAAAGCCCCGGCAAACUACGUGCCAGCAACCGCGGUAAUACGUCUACUG